GACGAACGCUGGCGGCGUGCCUAAUACAUGCAAGUAGAACGCUGAAGGAGGAGCUUGCUCUUCUGGAUGAGUUGCGAACGGGUGAGUAACGCGUAGGUAACCUGCCUGGUAGUGGGGGAUAACUAUUGGAAACGAUAGCUAAUACCGCAUAAUAACAGCUGUUGCAUGACAACUGUUUGAAAGGUGCAAUUGCAUCACUACCAGAUGGACCUGCGUUGUAUUAGCUAGUUGGUGGGGUAACGGCUCACCAAGGCGACGAUACAUAGCCGACCUGAGAGGGUGAUCGGCCACACUGGGACUGAGACAGGGCCCAGACGCCUACAGAAGGAAGCAGUAGGGAAACUGCGGCAAUAGACGAGAGUCUGACCGAGCAACGCCGAGUGAGUGAAGAGGGAUUUCGGAUCGUGAAGAUCUGUUGUAAGGGAAGAAAGAGUGUGCGAGUGGAAAGUUCACACUGUAACGGUAACGUACCAGAAAGGGACGGCUAACUACGUG
RNAcentral lists this ribosomal RNA (495 nucleotides) under uncultured bacterium. Its description in RNAcentral is "partial 16S ribosomal RNA". It matches the Rfam family "Bacterial small subunit ribosomal RNA", at positions 28 to 507 of the family's 1533-position model. The record is from RNAcentral.